This 1662-nucleotide long non-coding RNA is filed under the name Homo sapiens (human). RNAcentral describes it as "HSALNT0299437". The record is from RNAcentral. Lineage: Eukaryota; Metazoa; Chordata; Mammalia; Primates; Hominidae.
GAUACGGCAGCAGCAGGCAGUCCUGAGCGGCCGCUGCCAUCGCGCCGGCUGCAGCGGAAAGGUACAAGCGGUGGCGGCAGGAGCCGCUGUGGGAGCAGCAGUGGCGGCAGUGGGAGCCCUGUGCCACGCGUCCCCUGUGCGCCGUGUCCCCAAGGCAGCUGACUACACCUCCCCCACCCUCCUGCAGCAGGGUGGAUCCCACCUAGCGGGACUCCCCACCCACCCCUCCAGGCCUUCUCCACUCCGGACUCUGGCCACUUGCCACCGUUGUCGCCCGCCGCCGCUGCAGGGAGGGUGCACGGAGGGAGCAGACCGUCUCCGGAGCCCGCCGCCCUGGGGGCUGCAGUGAUGGGGCCGGGCUGAGGCACCUGCCGGCGGGGUAGCAGGGCAGUCGAGCACGGAGGGAGGGGCGGGCCUCCAGGGGACUUCAGCGGGAGCCGGGCCUGGGGCGGUGCCGCACUUGCACACGGAGUGUGGGGGGCCAGGCCUGGGACCAGGAGCUGGGGCCGGGCUUCGGCGCAGAGGCAGGAAGAGGAAGCGGCACCCGCUUCGGGGACCCAGCCGGCGGCCAGGCCACCGCGCCCACCCGGCCGAUGGCACCGUGUUCCUGCGCCUCGGGAGGGAGGAGGCUCUGCGCGGGACUGCAGGUUCUGCCCCGCAUCGGAGUGAUCGCUGAGCCUGACGCUCUCGAAGGCUGGGCCUGGGGCCCGCAAUCUACUCCGGAGGCUUUCCCACUGGGCAGGGUCGCUAGCAGGGUGAGAGAAAGCCCCGGGCCAUCCCCGAGUGCCGGGGCCACAGGAAGAAUUUGUGGCGACAUCAUCCCUUCCCCAGGUGCCACCCGGGUGCAGUGAGGACCUGGAGCCCCUGCCCCAGGCUGUGAGGAGACUUGACCAGAGCUGCCUGAAUGCUCCACGGAGCAGCAGGAGGAAGCAUUCCCAUGUGAAAGAUGAGCUCCCUAUAAAAGCAACGCUCUUAUCAUCGAGAACAGAAAGUUGAAGCCAAGAGAGAGCUCCACAAGCUGACCUUGUUAAACUAACCCUUAUCUUCUUAGUCGCUUCUUUACCCAAUUAACUACCCUAGCCGAAGCCCCUUUGCCUUAUUACAUUUUGCAACAGUGUUCGUUGUCCAAUUCAGUAUACAAGUGAGUGACUCUGGAUGCUUUUUGGGGUCUUCGUUUCCUUAUGAGGGCUUCUGUGCCAUGUAAAACUUGUAUUAAAUAAAUUUGUAUGCUUUUCUCCUGUUAAUCUGUCUAUAUCGAUUGAACUUUAGGGUCCAGUCAGAACCCAAAGAGGAUGGAGGUGGAGUUUUGGCUCCUCUACAGCUAUCUGAAUAAUCAAAAUUCAAGAUAUUCCAUGUUCUUUCUGAGUUUCUUUGAAAUUAAAAAUGCAGACAACCACUCAACUAAUACGUCAGCGAGAUACGUUUUCUGUCCUUAUUGCCUUACUGAUGAAAUUGCCUUUAUUCAUAAAAAAUAAAUGUGGGAGUCUUGUUUAUUUAUUUCUAAUGACAUUAACUUGACAUUAACCUUGGUGCUCUUGGGAACCAUAAAUGGGCCCUGUACUACUUGUUACAGAGUAUAAAUUCCCAGAACUACAAGUACAUCAUAUUCCUCAAGUUACUGAAGAAUUUCAUGAUCCAUGUGUCAGGCCUCUGAGCCCAAGC